AUGUGCCCAUAUGUGAUGUUAACCCUGACGGGAUGAAGGAAUUUAAUAUUCUUUCAGUGUGAUUCAGGAGAGCAUUUGUUUUAUUUUCUACCAACUAACCCAGCUUUGCUUUUAAACACACUAUCUGAGGGAGCGGAGAGGCAGGGUUGAAGACAGAAGAGGGGCUACGUAGUGACUAAAGAAUGUUUCUGUUUUGUAAUUAUUGUGUGUGGGUGGGUUUUGUUUAAGAGAAUUGAAAACUGUAAAACAGAGAAUACAGGAAAUGGCUCUUGGUUUUUUGUUUGUUUGUUUGUUUGUUUAUUUGUUUUUGCCCUGUUAACAGCUUGUUAAUGCUCCACUGUCUUUGCUUCAAAACAGAUUUGUUCACUGCCCAGGUAGUUUUGUGUCCUGAGUCCUAUACCCUGCCCACCCUAUAAAUCAAUCAAUGCCUGGUUUAGAUGUUUGGUUUUGUUCUCUUUGUUAUUGUCAUUUUAAAGAUAUAUAACUCAGAUGUGCAGACAUCAAAUUAAGCUCUCAUUUAAAUGUUUUGACAUCUAAUUUGUAUUCUAAUUGAGCCCAGCCACUGAUGCAUGUACUUUAGCUACUUCUGCUAAAUAAGCAUAUUAUUUUCCCACACCACGCCAUCAGAAUUUAAUAACCAACAGUUAUCUAGAACCCCAUGUCUACUAAUGUUUCACCUGCAUGCAGCCUUCAUUGAUUUUGCAGCAAAAUAUAAAGUAAUUGUUACAUAGCUUCUGGCUUAAAAAAAGUUUUGUGUGUUAAGUUGCCUUGUAAAGAGCAUGUCGAAUUAAUGGGACAGAGCGUCCUUUGUGUUAGAUGUUAGAGCAAAAGAAAGGCCUUAUAGUGUUGGUAUUGGAACACGAAAUAUCUAUCCUGAAGAUAUUUUAAGGAAGGAUAUAGGACUUUAAAUUUUAAAUUUUAGAAAAAGAAAUGAUGCCAAUUGGCAACUGUCAUAAUGAAGUUCUUCAUCCAGCAGGUGUUUAACAGUGUUAUUUUGCCAUUAAUAAUGUGUAAACUGUGAGUGAUUUACAAUAAAUGAUUAUGAAUU
Nycticebus coucang (slow loris) is the source of this 1048-nucleotide RNA transcript. RefSeq lists it as uncharacterized. Lineage: Eukaryota; Metazoa; Chordata; Mammalia; Primates; Lorisidae. The record is from RefSeq and is a predicted model, not a curated record. The transcript has a single exon.